RNAcentral lists this ribosomal RNA (254 nucleotides) under uncultured bacterium. RNAcentral describes it as "partial 16S ribosomal RNA". It matches the Rfam family "Bacterial small subunit ribosomal RNA", at positions 524 to 776 of the family's 1533-position model. The record is from RNAcentral.
UACGUAGGGUCCAAGCGUUGUCCGGAAUUAUUGGGCGUAAAGAGCUCGUAGGCGGUGUGUCGCGUCGGAUGUGAAAGCCCCGGGGCUUAACCCCGGGUCUGCAUUCGGUACGGGCAUGCUGGAGUUCGGUAGGGGAGACUGGAAUUCCUGGUGUAGCGGUGAAAUGCGCAGAUAUCAGGAGGAACACCGGUGGCGAAGGCGGGUCUCUGGGCCGAUACUGACGCUGAGGAGCGAAAGCGUGGGGAGCGAACAGG